GAAUGGAAAGAGAGAGGGAAAAGGUUCUUGAUUUUCUUUGACUUCUCUUUUAUAUGAACUUUCUGUAUCAAAAGUAUGUACAUUAAUACCUUUUUCAAGCAUAUUGCCAGUUUUUCCCAUUGCACUAAUGAAAUGCUUAAUGGAGCAUAUUAAAAACUCAGGAGAUAAUGCCUUGUUUGGUUUUCGUCCUUGUCACAACCUGAGUUCAGCAGCUUGCCAUACUUGUUCCUUUUUUUCCUUCUUCAUGGUAAAGCUUGCAUAGGCCAUACAUUUUAGGGAAAAGUAGCUGCAUUUUCAUGACUUUCUUAUGUAACAUAGCAUAGACAUUCUCAAUUUAUAUCACUCCAUUGGCAUUCCAUUCUCAGAAGAAUAACACUGCCAGCUAGUGCAACAAAUGUAGUAUGAAAAAGAAAUAGACAAUCUAAUAGGAGAUUACAGUAAUAGAUAAACAUGGUGGCUUGAUGCAUAAUCUUUCUUUCCAUGAGGCUGUCUUAAACUCUAUGAUGCAUCUAUUGUGUCCGAAGUUUGUAAUUUAACCUUUUAUUCAAGCUUUAUCAUAGAAACAUGGAUUGUUUCAUACAUAUCUGGUACUUACUGAUACAUUGAUGAACACAGAGUUUAAUUUCCAAAUAUAAUCUCCACAAUUCAA
RNAcentral lists this unclassified non-coding RNA (649 nucleotides) under Hevea brasiliensis (rubber tree). The record is from RNAcentral. Lineage: Eukaryota; Viridiplantae; Streptophyta; Magnoliopsida; Malpighiales; Euphorbiaceae.